RNAcentral lists this ribosomal RNA (330 nucleotides) under uncultured eukaryote. RNAcentral's name for it is "partial 18S ribosomal RNA". It matches the Rfam family "Eukaryotic small subunit ribosomal RNA", at positions 1470 to 1796 of the family's 1831-position model. The record is from RNAcentral.
CCCUUAGAUGUUCUGGGCCGCACGCGUGCUACACUGAUGCAUUCAACGAGUCUAAAACCUGGUCUGAUAGGGCUGGGUAAUCUUUUGAAAGUGCAUCGUGAUUGGGAUAGAUGAUUGCAAUUCUUCAUCUUCAACGAGGAAUGCCUAGUAAACGCAAGUCAUCAGCUUGCAUUGAUUACGUCCCUGCCCUUUGUACACACCGCCCGUCGCUCCUACCAAUUGAAUGAUCCGAUGAAUACCAUGGAUUGAGAGUACGAAUAGGUUCGCUUAUUUCUGCUGCUCGAGAAGUGGAGUAAAUCUUAUCAUUUAGAGGAAGGAGAAGUCGUAACA